RNAcentral lists this long non-coding RNA (227 nucleotides) under Salvia miltiorrhiza (redroot sage). Its description in RNAcentral is "long non-coding RNA (SMIL_LNC010003)". Lineage: Eukaryota; Viridiplantae; Streptophyta; Magnoliopsida; Lamiales; Lamiaceae. The record is from RNAcentral.
UGGCUAUAUAAGUCUCAAACUAUCUCAUUUUGGCUAAGGAAGAGAAUUCUCACAACAUAAAAUAGUAAAAAGCAUUGACCUUGAUAUAUAUAUACAUACAGUUUUGUAUUUUUGAUAUAGUAAAAAAGAAGUCCCCAAUGGGACACCAAGCGGUGCGACCUCCUGUGUAUGAACAGUGAGGUCCCGGAUUCAAACCCCACUGCUUCCCCUCCCCAACUCCCCCCCCC